UACGUAGGGUGCGAGCGUUAAUCGGAAUUACUGGGCGUAAAGCGUGCGCAGGCGGUUUUGUAAGCCAGAUGUGAAAUCCCCGGGCUUAACCUGGGAAGGGCAUUUGGGACUGCAAGGCUGGAGUUUGGCAGAGGAGACUGGAAUUUACGGUGUAGCAGUGAAAUGCGUAGAGAUCGUAAGGAAGACCAGUGGCGAAGGCGAGUCUCUGGACAGUUACUGACACUGAGGCACGAAGGCCAGGGGAGCAAACGGG
This 253-nucleotide ribosomal RNA is filed under the name uncultured bacterium. RNAcentral describes it as "partial 16S ribosomal RNA". It matches the Rfam family "Bacterial small subunit ribosomal RNA", at positions 524 to 776 of the family's 1533-position model. The record is from RNAcentral.